GAUGAAGAACGCAGCGAAAUGCGAUAAGUAAUGUGAAUUGCAGAAUUCAGUGAAUCAUCGAAUCUUUGAACGCACAUUGCGCCCUCUGGUAUUCCGGGGGGCAUGCCUGUUCGAGCGUCAUUAUAACCACUCAAGCUCUCGCUUGGUAUUGGGGUUCGCGGUUCCGCGGCCCCUAAAAUCAGUGGCGGUGCCUGUCGGCUCUACGCGUAGUAAUACUCCUCGCGAUUGAGUCCGGUAGGUCUACUUGCCAGCAACCCCCAAUUUUUACAGGUUGACCUCGGAUCAGGUAGGGAUACCCGCUGAACUUAAGCAUAUCAAUAAGCGGCGGA
RNAcentral lists this unclassified non-coding RNA (329 nucleotides) under soil metagenome. RNAcentral's name for it is "partial contains 5.8S ribosomal RNA, internal transcribed spacer 2, and large subunit ribosomal RNA". The stretch from base 1 to 120 matches the Rfam family "5.8S ribosomal RNA", at positions 35 to 154 of the family's 154-position model. The record is from RNAcentral.